RNAcentral lists this ribosomal RNA (253 nucleotides) under uncultured bacterium. RNAcentral's name for it is "partial 16S ribosomal RNA". It matches the Rfam family "Bacterial small subunit ribosomal RNA", at positions 524 to 776 of the family's 1533-position model. The record is from RNAcentral.
GACGAAGGAUGCAAGCGUUAUCCGGAUUCAUUGGGUUUAAAGGGAGCGUAGGCGGAUUUGUAAGUCAGUGGUGAAAUCUCCGGGCUCAACCCGGAAACUGCCAUUGAUACUGCAGGUCUAGAGUACAGUUGCCGUUGGCGGAAUAUGACAUGUAGUGGUGAAAUACUUAGAUAUGUCAUAGAACACCGAUUGCGAAGGCAGCUAACGAAACUGUAACUGACGCUGAGGCUCGAAAGUGCGGGGAUCAAACAGG